UAGUACAACGGAGGUGCCUGGGCUGUUGCUGACCUCAAGGUCGUGCACGCCCGGAGCGCUCUCUCACAUCCAUCUCACCCCUUUGUGCAUCAUCGCGUGGGGCCCUCUCCUUUGGCUUGUUCCGGAAGGGGGGGGGGUUCACGUUUUUACACGAACAACCCAUUAAUGCAUGUGUAGAAUGUCUUACUUUUGCGGUCACACGCAAUCAAUA
This 211-nucleotide unclassified non-coding RNA is filed under the name uncultured Russula. Its description in RNAcentral is "sequence contains ITS1". Lineage: Eukaryota; Fungi; Basidiomycota; Agaricomycetes; Russulales; Russulaceae. The record is from RNAcentral.